UACAGAGGUGGCAAGCGUUGUUCGGAAUUACUGGGCGUAAAGGGCGCGUAGGCGGCCUUCUAAGUCAGACGUGAAAUCCCCCGGCUUAACCUGGGAACUGCGUCUGAUACUGGGAGGCUUGAGUAUGGGAGAGGGAUGUAGAAUUCCAGGUGUAGCGGUGAAAUGCGUAGAUAUCUGGAGGAAUACCGGUGGCGAAGGCGGCAUCCUGGACCAUAACUGACGCUGAGGCGCGAAAGCAUGGGGAGCGAACAGG
Molecule: ribosomal RNA, 253 nt
Filed under: uncultured bacterium
Lineage: Bacteria
Description: partial 16S ribosomal RNA
Rfam family: Bacterial small subunit ribosomal RNA
Source: RNAcentral